Molecule: ribosomal RNA, 491 nt
Filed under: uncultured bacterium
Lineage: Bacteria
Description: partial 16S ribosomal RNA
Rfam family: Bacterial small subunit ribosomal RNA
Source: RNAcentral
AUUGAACGCUGGCGGCAGGCCUAACACAUGCAAGUCGAACGGUAACAGGAAGCAGCUUGCUGCUUUGCUGACGAGUGGCGGACGGGUGAGUAAUGUCUGGGAAACUGCCCGAUGGAGGGGGAUAACUACUGGAAACGGUAGCUAAUACCGCAUAACGUCGCAAGACCAAAGAGGGGGACCUUAGGGCCUCUUGCCAUCGGAUGUGCCCAGAUGGGAUUAGCUAGUAGGUGGGGUAACGGCUCACCUAGGCGACGAUCCCUAGCUGGUCUGAGAGGAUGACCAGCCACACUGGAACUGAGACACGGUCCAGACUCCUACGGGAGGCAGCAGUGGGGAAUAUUGCACAAUGGGCGCAAGCCUGAUGCAGCCAUGCCGCGGGUAUGAAGAAGGCCUUCGGGUUGUAAAGUACUUUCAGCGGGGAGGAAGGGAGUAAAGUUAAUACCUUUGCUCAUUGACGUUACCCGCAGAAGAAGCACCGGCUAACUCCGUGC